GACGAACGCUGGCGGCGUGCUUAACACAUGCAAGUCGUACGGUAAGGCCCUUUCGGGGGUACACGAGUGGCGAACGGGUGAGUAACACGUGAGUAACCUGCCCACAACUUUGGGAUAACGCUAGGAAACUGGUGCUAAUACUGGAUAUGUGCUCCUGCUGCAUGGUGGGGGUUGGAAAGCUCCGGCGGUUGUGGAUGGACUCGCGGCCUAUCAGCUUGUUGGUGGGGUAGUGGCCUACCAAGGCGGCGACGGGUAGCCGGCCUGAGAGGGUGACCGGCCACAUUGGGACUGAGAUACGGCCCAGACUCCUACGGGAGGCAGCGGUGGGGAAUAUUGCACCAUGGGCGCAAGCCUGAUGCAGCAACGCCGCGUGCGGGAUGACGGCCUUCGGGUUGUAAACCGCUUUCAGCAGGGACGAAGCUUUUUGUGACGGUACCUGCAGAAGAAGCACCGGCUAACUACGUG
RNAcentral lists this ribosomal RNA (465 nucleotides) under uncultured bacterium. Its description in RNAcentral is "partial 16S ribosomal RNA". It matches the Rfam family "Bacterial small subunit ribosomal RNA", at positions 28 to 507 of the family's 1533-position model. The record is from RNAcentral.